RNAcentral lists this ribosomal RNA (595 nucleotides) under Nolanea rigidipes. RNAcentral's name for it is "partial large subunit ribosomal RNA". It matches the Rfam family "Eukaryotic large subunit ribosomal RNA", at positions 69 to 647 of the family's 3401-position model. The record is from RNAcentral. Lineage: Eukaryota; Fungi; Basidiomycota; Agaricomycetes; Agaricales; Entolomataceae.
CAAGGAUUCCCCUAGUAACUGCGAGUGAAGCGGGAAAAGCUCAAAUUUAAAAUCUGGUAGUCUUUGGCUGCCCGAGUUGUAAUCUAGAGAAGCAUUAUCCGCGCUGGACCAUGUAUAAGUCUCCUGGAAUGGAGCGUCAUAGAGGGUGAGAAUCCCGUCUUCGACAUGGACUACCAGGGCUUUGUGAUGUGCUCUCAAAGAGUCGAGUUGUUUGGGAAUGCAGCUCUAAAUGGGUGGUAAAUUCCAUCUAAAGCUAAAUAUUGGCGAGAGACCGAUAGCGAACAAGUACCGUGAGGGAAAGAUGAAAAGAACUUUGGAAAGAGAGUUAAACAGUACGUGAAAUUGUUGAAAGGGAAACGCUUGAAGUCAGUCACAUUGGCCAGGGAUCAACCUUGCUUUUGCUUGGUGUACUUCCUGGUUAAUGGGUCAGCAUCAAUUUUGACCAGUGGAAAAAGAUCAAGGGAAUGUGGCAUCUUCGGAUGUGUUAUAGCCUUUGGUUGCAUACAUUGGUUGGGAUUGAGGAACUCAGCACGCCGUAAGGCCGGGUUUUUAACCACGUUCGUGCUUAGGAUGCUGGCAUAAUGGCUUUAAUCGA